GUUUAGCAAGACGGACGCGCUAAUUUUUUUUAGGUACCGUAGUUUAGAAGGACCGUCCCGAUAAAACUUGUUUUUCUAGAAUGUAGUUUAUGGGUACUUUGCAAAAAUUUGUGCGUUCGCGCGGAACGCGAUUUAUAUAUAUAAUAUGUGUAUAACAUGUUUCUGGAAUGGAAUAGUACCGAUCGCUUAAUACGCGUAUUAAGUACUAUAUUAAUAUUAAAUCGGCUUGGUUUCAACGAUGUAAACGAUGCUGUAUUCAGAUGAUACGAUACGCUUUUUUCACGCGUAUUGUAUCAAAAUGAUACGCGUAUUAAGCAUGGUUAUAAUGAUUAACAGUAGUAAUGUUUGAAAUAAGUUUUCAUCAAAAAGACGUAGAAUGGCGUAUGGACUAGCUGUAUAGGUCCAUUGAGCCAAAAGAGCACCAAACCUAACCUAUCGUUGCCUGUAAAGAACUCCCGGCCGCUUUCAGCUGCUAUACGGACGGAUUCGAGAUCUAAGCCUCAAAGUAUAUGAUAAAAGAAUGAAUCAACUCAUUCAAGUUGCAAGAAUGAAUUCACGUAUGAAACGGACCGCAGCUAAGAUGAAGCGGAUGUACAGUAUGGACUAGGUGUAUUAUUCAACUUGUCCGACAAGUAUGACAAAGUUGUCGAUUGUUUCCAAGCAGCGUUAGAAAUACCUCUUGAUAAUUCAGAAUUUAUUGUGGAACAAUAUCGGUGCAACACUGGUCAGCUAGUAGUCAGUGAUCUGCUGAAGCUACAAACUAAUCAUGUCUUAGAUUUGUCACUAUUAUCACAUUUAUUAGAGUGUAUUACAAUCUCGGUAUGUCUUGCGUCAAUCUCUGAGCAUAGAGAGGGGAGAGCAUUUUUCAAGCCUUAGAUUUACAAGCGUCUACACUGGCUAAUGAUCGCUGAUCAUUAUGUUGAGUGUUCCGAUCAUUUAUUCUCAUAUUUAAACCACAUAAUUCAACUAUCUUGUUUUUUGUCUGGUUCAUUUUAUCUUUUCUUGCAAUCAGUAAACCACUGAAAAAGAUUUUCAUUCGAAACGUCUGGAACAUUAAACAGAAAUAUGAAGAGUAUCUUAAAAUGGAUUCAAAUAAAACAAGAACGACGAGGAUAGUCAAAACCAAAAAGUUUACCGAUAUCAACACAGAUAGAAAUGGAAGAUUUUGAAAAAGCGGAUAAUCGAUCGUAUAAAGAAGUUGUAGAUUAUUUGAAAUAUGUUGGAGGAUUUACCAUAAAAGAAGCUGUAAACUUGUCUUUUAAAGAGGCGAUUAAAGACAGCGUCAUGGCCAUAUAUACAUGGUUUGGUCGUGAAGAGUCUAAACCUUUAUGCAACACAAAAAUCGUUACGCCUAUCUAUAGUAUAAUAAUUUAAGUAAUCUAAUGCAAAAUCGAUAUUCCAAAAAUAGUAAUCAAAAAAAUAGUAGAUUUUUACUGAUGCACGAAUUUUAAAGUAAAGUCGAAUUUUUAUUUUUUACUUUGUACUCAAAAAUAAAAUUAAGUUUUAUUUAUUUUAUAGUAAAUACCUUGAAUUUCAGUUGCAUGUAUUUGGUAUACUUGUAUCACAAUAUAUUACAUUUGCUUCAGAGGCCGUUUGCUUCAAUAGAAACUUUGGAAAGCCAAGCCGAGCAGAAUUUCAAACUUACAUGCGAGAGGCUUUACGAUCAUCGAAACAGCGACACUGAACGAGCAGUCGCAUAGAAAAACGACAACGAAAUGAAAAUCCACUUCGACGGAUGUGGGCGGAUGAAGAAAAUGAAGGAGAGGAAGGAGCUGAGAAAAUUCAGAAUGUAGAAGAAAACUCAAACUAGUUUCCCAGACAGCACAAAUAUGUUCUAUGAACAUUCAUAGAAUGACAUCAGAAAAUGUUUGAAUAUUCUUAGAAUAUUCUUACAUGAUGAUUGGAGAUUAUUAUGAACAUCAAUAGAAUAUUCGAAGUAGACAAAAAGUUACGUUUUGAGAACAUUCUAUGAAUAUUAAAUAAACAUUCUCUGUACAUUAAAUGAACAUUUUCAGUAUAUUAAAUGAACUUUCAGAGAACAUUUUGAGUAUUUUUAUUGAAUGUAUAGGAAUAUUCUAUGAAUAUUUUAAUAAGAGGAUAUAGGUAAUAAAAGAAAAUAGAUAGUAGUUUUGAAUGACACAAGUUUAAUCGCUCUCAUAGCAAUUAAUGACGUCAUAUCUUAACCCUUUGCACUCGAGAGGUGAGUCUCACUCACCACGCGAUUUUAUGCCGCAACUCGAGAGGUGACUUUACAUUAUCCUUGUAAACAUGUAAAGAUACAUUAAGUAUUAAAAUAUAAAAGUUUUGUAUGUUACUUUGCGUGUAAUCAUUUUAUGUUAGCGGUAGUAAAGUCACGAAAAGCGCUACGAAACGUCUCGAGUUGCUGGUAGGUCCGCGCGGAAACGGCCUCGAGUGCAAAGGGUUAAUAGAAGAAAGUUGGUUUUAUAUAAAGCAUGUGUUUUGAAUAUAUAUAUGUUCCUAGAACUGUUUUACAUAAAAGAAACCUUCUUAGUAAAUGUGACGUCAUUAAUCGUUCUGAGAAUGAUUAAAUCGAACUUUAAUUAUAUCAUAAAAUUUGAACAUAAAAUAAGAACAAAACCAAAAAUUCAAUACAAUAAAAUAUGUAUAGUUUAAUAAGAUAAAAUAGAAACUUGUUAGAAUAGAUUUAAUCAAAAAACAUUAAUAUAUUAUUUUUGUUGUUUGUGCAUUCUUUCCUUGGCCUUAACCAACCACAUUUUAAUAGCACUUUCAACAUCUGAUGCCGUUGUAUUUGUGUGGAUUGUCAUCACAG
This is an RNA transcript of Pseudomyrmex gracilis, 2791 nucleotides long. RefSeq lists it as uncharacterized. Lineage: Eukaryota; Metazoa; Arthropoda; Insecta; Hymenoptera; Formicidae. The record is from RefSeq and is a predicted model, not a curated record. The transcript has 8 exons.